ACUCGCCUGCAUGAAGUCGGAAUUGCUAGUAAUCGUGGAUCAGCAUGCCACGGUGAAUACGUUCCCGGGCCUUGUACACACCGCCCGUCACACCAUGGGAGUCGGUAACACCCGAAGCCUGUAGUCUAACCGCAAGGAGGACGCAGUCGAAGGUGGGAUUGAUGACUGGGGUGAAGUCGUAACAAGGUAUC
RNAcentral lists this ribosomal RNA (191 nucleotides) under uncultured bacterium. RNAcentral describes it as "partial 16S ribosomal RNA". It matches the Rfam family "Bacterial small subunit ribosomal RNA", at positions 1310 to 1500 of the family's 1533-position model. The record is from RNAcentral.